CAGCACCUCAAGUGGUCAGGAUGAUUAUUGGGCCUAAAGCAUCCGUAGCCGGCUCUGUAAGUUUUCGGUUAAAUCUGUACGCUCAACGUACAGGCUGCCGGGAAUACUGCAAAGCUAGGGAGUGGGAGAGGUAGACGGUACUCGGUAGGAAGGGGUAAAAUCCUUUGAUCUAUUGAUGACCACCUGUGGCGAAGGCGGUCUACCAGAACACGUCCGACGGUGAGGGAUGAAAGCUGGGGGAGCAAACCGGAUUAGAUACCCGAGUAGUCC
Molecule: ribosomal RNA, 270 nt
Filed under: uncultured archaeon
Lineage: Archaea
Description: partial 16S ribosomal RNA
Rfam family: Archaeal small subunit ribosomal RNA
Source: RNAcentral